RNAcentral lists this ribosomal RNA (473 nucleotides) under uncultured bacterium. RNAcentral describes it as "bacterial SSU rRNA". It matches the Rfam family "Bacterial small subunit ribosomal RNA", at positions 28 to 498 of the family's 1533-position model. The record is from RNAcentral.
GAUGAACGCUGGCGGCGUGCCUAAUACAUGCAAGUCGAACGCUUCACUUCGGUGAAGAGUGGCGAACGGGUGAGUAAUACAUAAGUAACCUGGCAUCUACAGGGGGAUAACUGAUGGAAACGUCAGCUAAGACCGCAUAGGUGUAGAGAUCGCAUGAACUCUAUAUGAAAAGUGCUACGGGACUGGUAGAUGAUGGACUUAUGGCGCAUUAGCUGGUUGGUAGGGUAACGGCCUACCAAGGCGACGAUGCGUAGCCGACCUGAGAGGGUGACCGGCCACACUGGGACUGAGACACGGCCCAGACUCCUACGGGAGGCAGCAGUAGGGAAUUUUCGGCAAUGGGGGAAACCCUGACCGAGCAACGCCGCGUGAAGGAAGAAGUAAUUCGUUAUGUAAACUUCUGUCAUAGAGGAAGAACGGUGGAUAUAGGGAAUGAUAUCCAAGUGACGGUACUCUAUAAGAAAGCCACGGCU